RNAcentral lists this ribosomal RNA (1246 nucleotides) under uncultured organism. Its description in RNAcentral is "bacterial SSU rRNA". It matches the Rfam family "Bacterial small subunit ribosomal RNA", at positions 199 to 1485 of the family's 1533-position model. The record is from RNAcentral.
GAGUAAAGAUUUCGGUCGCUUUGGGAGGAGCUCGCUUACUAUCAGCUUGUUGGUAGGGUAAUGGCCUACCAAGGCUAUGACGGUUAGGGGGUGUGAGAGCAUGACCCCCAGCAUUGGCACUGAAACACUGGCCAAACACCUACGGGUGGCUGCAGUCGAGAAUCUUCCACAAUGGGGGAAACCCUGAUGGAGCGAUGCUGCGUGCGGGAUGAAGGCCUUCGGGUUGUAAACCGCUUUUGUAGGGGACGAAAUUUUUGACGGUACCCUUUCGAAUAAGAGGUUGCUAACUCUGUGCCAGCAGCAGCGGUAAUACAGAGACCUCAAGCGUUAUCCGGAUUUACUGGGCGUAAAGCGUCUGUAGGGGGUUUAUUAAGUUCCAAGUAAAAUUUCAAGGCUCAACUUUGAAUUCGCUUGGAAAACUAAUAAACUGGAGUCUAGCAGAGGUGCAUGGAACUUGUGGUGUAGGAGUGAAAUCCGUUGAUAUCACAAGGAACACCAAAGGCGAAGGCAUUGCACUGGGCUAGCACUGACCCUGAGAGACGAAAGCGUGGGGAGCAAAACGGAUUAGAUACCCGUGUAGUCCACGCCCUAAACGAUGAAUGCUAAAUGUUCGGGGAUUCGACCCCCUGGGUGUUACAGCUAACGCGUUAAGCAUUCCGCCUGGGAAGUACGGCCGCAAGGCUAAAACUCAAAGGAAUAGACGGGGAUCCGCACAAGCGGUGGAGCGUCUGGUUUAAUUCGACAGUAAGCGUGGUACCUCACCAGGGUUUGACAUCCCUUGACAGCCUUGGAAACAAGGUUUCCUUCGGGCAAGGUGACAGGUGCUGCAUGGUCGUCGUCAGUUCGUGCCGUGAGGUGUUCCGUUAAGUCGGGAAACGAACGAAACCCCUAUUGCAUGUUACAAUUUCUCAUGCAAGACUGCCCGGAUAUACUGGGAGGAAGGUGGGGAUGACGUCAGAUCUGCAUGGUCCUUAUACCCUGGGCGACACAGGCGCUACAAUGGCAGAGACAAAGGGUUGCAAAACCGCAAGGUGAAGCUAAUCCCAAAAACUUUGUCUAAGUUCGGAUUGAAGGCUGCAAUUCGCCUUCAUGAAGCUGGAAUCGCUAGUAAUCGUGAAUCAGCCACGUCACGGUGAAUAUGUUCCCGGAUCUUGUACUCACCGCCCGUCACACCAAGAGAGUUGGUAGCUCCCGAAGCGUCCCGUUUUAGCGGGGCAUCACGGAGAGAUCAGCGAUAGGGGUGAAG